Molecule: ribosomal RNA, 164 nt
Filed under: Minuartia globulosa
Lineage: Eukaryota; Viridiplantae; Streptophyta; Magnoliopsida; Caryophyllales; Caryophyllaceae
Description: 5.8S ribosomal RNA
Rfam family: 5.8S ribosomal RNA
About the family: 5.8S ribosomal RNA (5.8S rRNA) is a component of the large subunit of the eukaryotic ribosome. It is transcribed by RNA polymerase I as part of the 45S precursor that also contains 18S and 28S rRNA.
Source: RNAcentral
UAAACGACUCUCGGCAACGGAUAUCUCGGCUCUCGCAUCGAUGAAGAACGUAGCGAAAUGCGAUACUUGGUGUGAAUUGCAGAAUCCCGUGAACCAUCGAGUCUUUGAACGCAAGUUGCGCCCGAAGCCAUUUGGCUAAGGGCACGUCUGCCUGGGCGUCACGC